Molecule: non-coding RNA, 1996 nt
Organism: Castor canadensis (American beaver)
Lineage: Eukaryota; Metazoa; Chordata; Mammalia; Rodentia; Castoridae
Source: RefSeq, a predicted model, not a curated record
UUGUCCAUUUUGUUGCAUAUUCUAAGGACCCAGACACAGGCUUGGUGGCCCAUCUCUUGUUUUUCCUGGUUUAUGACUUUCGGCUUUGUGGAAUACGGCUGAGAUGAAAGGAUUUAUUGAUGAUGCAAACUACUCCGUUGGUGUGUUGGAUGAAGGAACAAAUCUCGAAAAUGUUAUUGAUAACUAUGUUUAUGAACAUACUCUGACAGGGAAAAAUGCAUUUUUUGUGGGGGAUCUUGGAAAGAUUGUGAAGAAACACAGUCAAUGGCAGAAUGUGGUGGCCCAGAUAAAGCCAUUUUACACAGUGAAGUGCAACUCUUCUCCAGCUGUACUUGAGAUUUUGGCAGCUCUUGGAAUUGGGUUUGCUUGUUCCAACAAAAAUGAGAUGGUUUUAGUGCAAGAAUUGGGUGUAUCUCCAGAAAACAUCAUUUACAUAAGUCCUUGCAAGCAAAUUUCUCAGAUAAAGUAUGCAGCAAAAGUUGGAGUAAAUAUCAUGACAUGUGACAAUGAAAUUGAAUUGAAGAAAAUUGCACGUAAUCACCCACAUGCCAAGGUCUUACUACAUAUUGCAACAGAAGAUAAUAUUGGAGGUGAAGAGGGUAACAUGAAGUUUGGCACUACUCUGAAGAACUGUAGGCAUCUUUGGGAAUGUGCUAAGGAACUUGAUGUCCAAAUAAUUGGGGUUCAAUUUCAUGUUUCAAGUGCUUGCAAAGAAUCUCAAGUAUAUGUACAUGCUCUAUCUGAUGCUCGAUGUGUGUUUGACAUGGCUGGAGAAUUUGGAUUUAAAAUGAACAUGUUAGACAUUGGUGGAGGCUUCACCGGAACUGAAUUCCAGUUGGAAGAGGUUAAUCACGUUAUCAGCCCUCUGUUGGAUAUCUACUUUCCAGAAGGCUCUGGCAUUAAGAUAAUUUCAGAACCUGGAAGCUACUAUGUGUCUUCUGCAUUUACACUUGCAGUUAAUAUCAUUGCUAAGAAAGUUGUUGAAAAUGAUACAAUUUCCUCUGGAGUAGAAAAAACCAGGAGCGAUGAACCAGUGUUCAUGUAUUAUAUGAAUGAUGGUGUUUAUGGUUCUUUUGCAAGUAAACUGUCUGAGGACUUAAAUACCAUUCCAGAGGUUCAUAAGAAAGACAAGAAAGAUGAGCCUUUAUUUACAAGCAGUCUUUGGGGUCCAUCCUGUGAUGAGCUUGAUCAAAUUGUGGAAAGCUGUCUUCUUCCUGAGCUGAAUGUGGGAGAUUGGCUUAUCUUUGAUAACAUGGGAGCAGAUUCUUUCCAUGAACCAUCUGCUUUUAAUGAUUUUCAGAGGCCAGCUAUUUAUUACAUGAUGUCAUUCAGUGAUUGGUAUGAGAUGCAAGAUGCUGGAAUUACUUCAGACACAAUGAUGAAGAACUUCUUCUUUGCAUCUUCUUGCAUACAGCUAAGCCAAGAAGACAGCUUUUCCACUGAAGCUUAAACAGGCAUUAACGCUUCCAUAGAUCUGAAGUAGCAGGUUAAGCUUGUCUGGUCUAUAUUCCAGUGUGGAAAAAAAAAAAUUCAAUCUAUUCUGCUAUUCUCUUGGAAACAAAAAUUAAUACUAAUAGCUAUUUGGGACCAGACAAAAUCAGCUUCAUCUACAAUUCAUUGGGGGUAGUGGGAGAUUUAGAUAAUGUAUCCAGAUUUAAAUAUCAGUUUGUCCUACCCCUUAAGCGUUUAAAUAAAAUAUGCAACAAAAUGGGUGACUUAGUGGAGAUGGAAGCCCAUUAAUUGGGUUCCCCAUUAAACCGUUUACAUACAAGUACACAGUUUUUAUACUAAGGAUUCGUGUUAAAAAGUCUUGUAAAGUUAAUGUCUUUCACCCAGAUACAUCAAAUGUCAGUGGAAGACCAGUGUGACUUCAUUAGAUAUGUUUAGUGUAUUUAGAAUGUGUAAAUUUGUGCUUUGAACUGUAGUUUAAUAAAUGUAAAAUUGCAUCAUAGUACUUGUUGUAUUUGACCUGAUAUAACCCUGUAUGAUUGCAAUA